ACGCCCCAAGUCGGGCAGCCCGUGGGGCGGGGGAGACUCGGGGCUCGGCCCGGCCCCGGGCUGCGGUGCUGAGCUCCUGCCCCCCGCCCCGUCUUCUCCCUGGAUCCGCGCCCCGGGCCCGCUCGCAUGGCGGGCUGAGCCCGAGGCGGGAGCGGGGGAGCCGGGAGGAAAGUUGCUCCCAGCCGGGGGCCGGGGAGCGGGGGGUUCAGGGCUCGGUGUGGGUCCCCGGGCGUGUGGACCGGAGCGUGCCCUGUAUGGCCAGUGCAGUGCCGGUGACUGUCAGGAGUCCACUGCCCUGGUGAGGCCCCACUUCACCCGUGGGCCCUGUGCCCACACUGGGCUCCUCCCCAGGCUGAGAACUGCCUGAGUGUAGACACAGGGCCCGAGUCCCGAGCUCAGCAGGAUCUGCAGCUGGUGGCCCAGGAUAGCCUGGCCUGGGGCUGCUGGCAGGCGGGGUUUCUGUCCCUCAGGAACAAAACACCCCCAGCAACACACCUGACAGCCCAGAGAGGAGGGGCAAAGGGGAGACUGCAGCGCACCACGGAAACUUCGGGGUAUCUGUGAAGCCAGGUGCAGGUUACACUGACCCCUGAAGAGACCUUCAGCCAGUACAGACCGGCCAGCUUGUGAGGACAGGCCCAGCCAAGCCCUCACUGGGAAGACACAGCCUCCAACACCUUCCUUUCUUGGUUUGAGUUGGGCUGGCCUCCCUCCAGCCAAUACCAGGAAUGGCUUUUUGACUGUUGAGCUUGCCUAGAAGCGAUAAGGUUUAUCUCCCCAAGCCUCUUCUGCUCUGGGGCUUUCCAUCUCUCCCUACCUUUCGAAGAACUUGGGGUUGAGUCCUCUGCUAUUCAGAAGCCAGAAGACUAUUUAGACAGCAAUAAUAAGGCUACCCACAAAGAGAGAGAGGAAGAGCCGCCAGAUGGGACUCAUAUCUAUUGCCGGUGGUCUUGGUGUGUGGAAUAUUUCCCAGGCGGUUGGUAUUCGUCCUGCUCGGUGUGCAUUGAGAGGCCCAGCGUGAGAUCAGGGCCCCAUUGUGCUAGGUGCUGGAGAGCCCCAAAUGCAGCCUCAGAGAGCUUAUCAUUUGGACAGGAAGCUUUAUCCCCUUGGCACAGCUGGGGACGGGAUCAGUGACUCACCUGCUGUCACACCAGGAGUCUGUGAGAGCCGGGACUUUGAACCAAGAAGGCUUGUCCAAGGCCUCCACCAGUGGAGAGAGACCAGCCUCCCUUUAAAUUCGUCUCACAGACCCUCUAUAGUGGACGCUUUGACUUGUGAGUGAGAAAGAGCUGGUGGGACCCGGCUGCAGAUCAGCUCAGGUCCCAGCACAGGUGGGCCCCUGUGAGUCCCUGAAGAAAACUGAAAGCAGCAGGCUGUGUGCGAGCAAGCAGGAGGGCCCAGGUGGCACUGAUGGACAGGAGGUUACGCCAGUCAUGCCAGGUUUUGAUGGCUCAAGGGGACCAGUGGAUGUUUUACAUGGGUGAGACCAGGGCCCUGCUGGGAGAAGCAGGGGGAGUGGACAUUCUCAGCUGCAACAGCUACAGCGUUCAGAGUGGAGGUUUGUUUCUUAUUGGCACUUGCCUCCUUUGGAAAUGACCUUCUCUGAUGAAACAGUUUGUGAUGUGAGUUCCUCAGGACGGCGUCUCUGCAGGGACUUUGGGGAGAGGACCUCAGAGUGCUCCAUUCCUCGAACUGGGCUUCACUGGAUCAUCCAUAUAAACCAUGUGCAUCCGUUUGCUAAUUAGCACCUUUCUUUGCAGGGGAUGACUGAGGGCCUUCGGUUUCACACUGGUUCACAUUCUGAGCUUCCCCCUCACACACACUCUGGAUUUAUACUGGGGUGAGUGAAAGCAGGAUCUAACCUACUGGGUGCAAAGGAGUCAGGAAGCAGGUGUAACCAGCAAACCCAAUGAGCAGUCAGAGGGGAAGGGUGGUUCGCCACCACCCUGCCCUUCUCACCCGGGCAGAGUGAGCACAAAAGGCCAGCACAGGAGCAUGGCGGUCUGGGACACCCUCCCUGCACUGGUGAAAGUGACCACACAGAGUGUAGGGCAGUGGCACAUCGGGCCGUGGGUGUGCAAAGCCAGCGGCGUCUCUGCCACAUUCAGCCUGGUGGCAAUGCCCAGAGACCAGUGGCCGUGGCCUCUCACUCCAGGGCUGGAUUUGGCCCUCGGGGGGGCAGCCCACACUUACUCCAGGCAACUGCUGGCUGGACUCAUUUUAUCCACACACCUUGGGCCAGAGUCAUCUUGGAUCCAAGUGUAGCGAAGCCUUCGCCCUGCCGCUGCUCUCACGCAAACCCACGGGAGGCUGGAGUGACACCUCUGGAGCCCAUGGAGUUACACCAUUGUCACUUGGGAUUUACAGCCGCCUGAGCGAGAGCGGAACUGGGCUCCGCGGAGCCACACGAGUCAUGAUUUGGGCCCUAAUUAUUUCCCCAAAGCAGCCUCAAGAGCCAGCGUGGUUUUUCAGAGAAUCUUCCCUCCCCCUGCUUUCCUCUAGUAGCCAGAGAGCGGAGCGGUGUGUGUUUGGGUUGUGUGUGUCUUCCAACCGCAACAAAUAUUUCAUUCAAUUUCUCUAACCCCCUUGGCUGUGGUAUUUAAACAGCAGGCGUGGUCCUGGCACUCCUCGCCAAAACCAACACUCGCUUCAGACCAGAUAACCCUGCAAGCAAACAAGCCACCGAGGCCAUGCCAAGCUGCAGCGGAAACCUGAUGGGGCAGCUGCCAUGGGGCAGAGAGGGGCAGAACCACCUGAGCCUGCCUGGGGACGGGAUUGGGGGAGAGUGGCCAGAUAGCAGGUGUGACAAAUUGGGACCCUUUUUUGGUGGGGGGUACAGUGGCUUAUGUAAGACAAAGCCCCUAAUAUCACGACUGUCAAUAUAGCGUAGACUGGGGCCUAAGAGCAGGCAGAAGCAGAACAGGGUAAUGACUGGGUGCUGCACAAGGUCGUUGAAGAGCUGGUGUGUUUUCAAGAGCUCCUCAAAGCAAGUGCUGCAGAACAAAAAGUGAAAAUGAAACCUCCUUGUCAGUGUGGAGGAGUCUGGCAUUUCGGGCAGAACAUUAUUUUAUUAUUAUUGUUAAUAAUCAGUUAUUGUUGACUAGCGCUGGUUGACAUUUUUUGGUCAAAAAGUUGUAGGCUUUUUAAAUUGAAAAUGGCUUUUCCAUCACGCCAAACGUUGUUGAUUUUUGCUUUUGCUUUAAUUUUUAUGUUUUUUUCCAUGACAAUUUUCAAAAUGAAUAUUUGUGUUUCGUUAAAAAAAAUGUCGUUUUAGGUUUUAUUUUUCAAGGUGUUUUUGUUCUCUCCCCCCUCCCCCCAUUAUUUCUCCUUGUUUUGAUUCCCCCCCACCCCGAAAAAGAGCGGGGAAAUAAAAGUGAGAAAAAGUGAGAAGAUGGAGAAACCAUCUUCCAACCCCUGGGGUUUUUAAAGUCCAAUCUGCAAAUAAACACAUUUUAUUUCAUUUCAUUUCAAACUUUUGUAAUCAAAAAAAUGAAAAGAUUGGUGACAUAAGCUGAGUGAGAUGGCAGCCAUUACAUUCUUUUUAAAUUGGUCGUAGAAAUGGAAUUCUAUUUUGGACCAAACUGCUUAAUGAUGAUGACCAAUCAGUGUAUCCCAUGCGUUUGUGGUCACGCCCAGAGCACCUCCCUGCCAUACAUGGUGAGACAGUGCCUGCUCCGAUGAGCUCACAAUCUAAGGAUGGACAGAUGGCCAAACAGGCCAGAGAAGAGGGAUUCUCUAUCCCAGCCACCCAGACAGUACAGCAGAAGCAGGAGGUGAAGGUGAAGAGGAGCAGUGCUCUGCAGGUGAAGUAACUUCCAGAGCUUUCCAUUGCAAUAUGGAAGCAAUGGUGCAAAGCAGGUAGCUGAGAUCAAAUCAAGGUUUUGCCAGUCCCCAGCAUGGCCACACGCCCCACGCAGAUUGCUCGCUCUGAAGACAGAUUUUUUUCUUUUUGGUCAAGUUCAAAACCCGUGUGCCUCAAAUGACAUCACUGAGGCACAUUGCCAGCAGUAGCGUGAAGUGUAUUGGGGGAUAUUUAUAAACCUGGCCAUGCUUGUUCCUUCCCAGGUGUUUGCAGAAGUUGCACCUACCAUCACCAAGUUAAACACCCUGCACAGAUUAGAUCUGGGGAGUCCCAGACCAUGCAAACAAGACGCUUGGCUGGAGCAAAUCUCCCAGGGCCACUCUUGAGCCAGGGGAGUUAGAGAAAGUGGAAGCAGGUUCCUUAUCUGGAUGUUAUCUCUGUCCUGUCCCGAAGCUCUCUAGAGCUUUCUCUGGGGGAUAAAGGAAGAAGCAGGUUUCCAGGAAGAGUAUUAACUCAGGCAUUCCAGGCAUUUUCACGCUCACGGAUCCCAGGAGCACUAUGGCCGACGCUGGUGAUCUCACAAUACUCAGUGUUUGCAUAAAGCCCCAGAGACAAGUGAUGUAGGGGAGAAUCUUGGCUUUCAUUGUUUUCCAAAAGUAACUUUCCAGCCCUUAUAGCUGUGGAGAAAAGCUUCCAAACAUGACUCACGUGUGAGCCAAUAGGUCAGAGAGCAGCAGACAGAAAGAAUAGAUAGUCUUUACAAAAUCUCAUGAUUUUGAGGCUAAUCUCAGGAUUUCUGACCCUUUCGGGUUGGUGGUACUGCCUAGGACCAAUGCUACACUCAGCAAGGAAUGCAGCCCCCACCCCAGGGAUGAAUGUGAUUGCUUUUUCACAAUCCCAUAGAACAGCUGUAAGAGACCUACCCACUUCGGGGGAGGUGGUAGGUGAAUGGACUAAACUGCAACCUGGCCAGGCUGCUGGGACUGACGCUGCUUCUCUGGUAGGAAUGAUUUCAUGGGGAUUAUUUCACAUCGGCACCUAGAGUCACAGUGCACAGAGGUAUUGUCACUGGUGCAUCGGCUCAGAUCCUCAGCUCAGGGAAAUCAAUGUGGCCCCAUUGCAGACAACUAAGCUACACCAGUGUACACCAGCUGAGGAUCUGUCCCAAUACAUUAUACUGUAUUUUUUGACACUGAGUGUUUUUAAUUAUUGUUAGAGUGUUUCUAUCACAAAUAAACAAGUCAUGGUCCUUA
Molecule: long non-coding RNA, 5055 nt
Organism: Dermochelys coriacea (leatherback sea turtle)
Lineage: Eukaryota; Metazoa; Chordata; Testudines; Dermochelyidae
Exons: 4
Source: RefSeq, a predicted model, not a curated record